RNAcentral lists this long non-coding RNA (284 nucleotides) under Ananas comosus (pineapple). RNAcentral's name for it is "long non-coding RNA (ACOM_LNC025757)". Lineage: Eukaryota; Viridiplantae; Streptophyta; Magnoliopsida; Poales; Bromeliaceae. The record is from RNAcentral.
UUUUACGGCCCCGAUCUCGUUUUCUACUUUUGUCUUAUCUGUGGCAUUAAUUAGGUCAUCUUAAUUACCGCCGUCUAUUCAUCAUUAUAGUCGACCUCGGAACUCGUUUAGACGCAACGGAUCGACGCGACGACCUUUUCUUCUUCCCUAUGCUUCUCAUCCUUUUUGUCUUCUCUGUCUCUUUUAUUUCUUCCUCGUCUGCUCCGACGAAACUUCUUUUUCGUCUCUUUCUUUCUUCCUCCUGUGUCUUCUCGCCUUCAUUCUCAUCUUCUUUUUCGCUUCGA